This 29-nucleotide ribosomal RNA is filed under the name Habenaria stenopetala. RNAcentral describes it as "partial 18S ribosomal RNA". The record is from RNAcentral. Lineage: Eukaryota; Viridiplantae; Streptophyta; Magnoliopsida; Asparagales; Orchidaceae.
CGUAGGGUGAACCUGCGGAAGGAUCAUUG